AACGAACGCUGGCGGCGUGCUUAACACAUGCAAGUCGAACGAGAAAGCGGGCUUCGGUCCGCUAGUAAAGUGGCAGACGGGUGAGUAACACGUGGGUAACCUGCCCGGAGGUGGGGGACAACCCUCCGAAAGGAGGGCUAAUACCGCAUGAUAUCCCUGAGGCUUCGGCCUUGAGGAUCAAAGCUAGCCUCUACAUGUAAGCUAGCUCCACCGGAGGGGCCCGCGGCCCAUUAGCUAGUUGGGAGGUAACGGCUCACCAAGGCGACGGUGGGUAGCCGGCCUGAGAGGGUGUUCGGCCACACUGGAACUGAGACACGGUCCAGACUCCUACGGGAGGCAGCAGUGAGGAAUCUUGCGCAAUGGGCGAAAGCCUGACGCAGCGACGCCGCGUGGAGGACGAAGGUCUUCGGAUCGUAAACUCCUGUCAA
RNAcentral lists this ribosomal RNA (428 nucleotides) under uncultured bacterium. Its description in RNAcentral is "bacterial SSU rRNA". It matches the Rfam family "Bacterial small subunit ribosomal RNA", at positions 29 to 439 of the family's 1533-position model. The record is from RNAcentral.